Vombatus ursinus (common wombat) is the source of this 522-nucleotide non-coding RNA. The record is from the annotation of a RefSeq genome assembly. Lineage: Eukaryota; Metazoa; Chordata; Mammalia; Diprotodontia; Vombatidae.
CUUGGGCUAGGAGUCUUUGGAGAGAGUUAGAGCACAGAUUAAAGCAUCUUAAAAAGGGAGAGGGAAGAUUUUAAGACAACAAACACAGUUUAUCAACAGGUGGUAAAGGGUUAGGAGUUGCUCAGCCCUAUUACGUGUGACUCCACAUGCUGUGACCCCAUCAUGAAUACCCGGUUCUUUUGCCAUGUGGCCUUUAUUCUUUGGAGAGCGGGUCUACUGGAUGCUGGAAUUACCCAGACCCCAAGAUACCUGGUCACAUGGAAAGGAGAUAAUGUGACGUUUAGAUGUGACCCUAUCAAAGGACACACUUGGGUUUAUUGGUAUCAACAGCUUUUAGAUAAAGAGAUUACAUUCUUGAUUUCUUUCCAGAGCAGCACUCCCAUGAAUGACUUGGGGAUGCACAAGCUUCGAUUCUCAGCUAAAUGUUCCCAAAACUCACCCUGUGAGCUGUCAAUCCAAAUCUCAGAGCCUGGGGACUCAGGCAUUUAUUUCUGUGCCAGCAGUGAAACCACAGUGCUGUGA